CAAAAAUUUAUGAUUACUGUUGACAAACUACAAGAAGCAUAUGCGAUAUGCAGAAUAUGCCUAAAAAGCUGUGAUCUUCCUUAAAACACUGAAAUCCAAGUCCUCCAAAUUUGGCAGAGGAGAAAGCCUCCCUGUUCAUGAGAAGGCAGUCGGACCACUAACCUUCACGGUCAUUCCUCUGGGAUUCCCCCCUUCCUUAGGGAUCUCUCUGACUGCAUUUGCACAUUCACACUGUCCUGAGGGACUUAAGGAGCUUUUCAUCUAUGUUUGCGCACUUGUAUUCCACUCACCAAACAUGUUAUUAACUACUCUUUUUUGGUUCAAGUGAACCAGCCACUCAUGCAAAACACACUUUUAUGCUCAUGGAGGUAAUAUAUAGGUCUUCCUUUAGAAAAGGAAAUUUGCAAAAAUAACGAUGUUACUUAAUAAAAUAAAAAACAUAAUUUAUUCUUGUAAUUUACCCUGUUAUGUAAUCAAAGGUAUAUACAAUUUGUAAGUACAUCAUAGAUUACUGAUAUGCUCAAUUAGAGCCAGUAAUUAAUAUUUGCAACAGAAGCAUAAAUAUGAUCUUUAAAAACUGACUAAUCACUUUUGCUUGUUUAAAAUUUUUUAUCCUUAAAUAGUCUUUAGUGUGAUAUAUACAAUAGUAUUUCCCUAAUUUAAGCAUUUUCUAGUCUUAUUUACAAAAUAAAUUGAGUCCUAUUAUUUCAUUUGAAAUGAAUUUUUAUUUUGAAAAUAAUUUGGUAGAACAUAAAACAAAAUCUUCUUGGGUAGUUAAAUAUUUAAUGUUGACACAGUCUUUUUGUGACAUAUUUG
RNAcentral lists this long non-coding RNA (816 nucleotides) under Pan troglodytes (chimpanzee). RNAcentral's name for it is "long non-coding RNA NONPTRT011483". The record is from RNAcentral. Lineage: Eukaryota; Metazoa; Chordata; Mammalia; Primates; Hominidae.